RNAcentral lists this ribosomal RNA (608 nucleotides) under Hepatozoon canis. RNAcentral describes it as "SSU rRNA". It matches the Rfam family "Eukaryotic small subunit ribosomal RNA", at positions 225 to 822 of the family's 1831-position model. Lineage: Eukaryota; Apicomplexa; Hepatozoidae. The record is from RNAcentral.
UGCAUGCUUUUACAGUAUGAAAAUUGGUGAUUUAUAAUAACUUAGCAAAUCGCAUAGUGAAAACAGGCGAUAAAUCAUUCAAGUUUCUGACCUAUCAGCUUUCGACGGUAUGGUAUUGGCUUACCGUGGCAGUGACGGUUAACGGGGGAUUAGGGUUCGAUUCCGGAGAGGGAGCCUGAGAAACGGCUACCACAUCUAAGGAAGGCAGCAGGCGCGCAAAUUACCCAAUUCUAACAGUUUGAGAGAGGUAGUAACAAGAAAUAACAAUACAAGGCAGUUAAAAUGCUUUGUAAUUGGAAUGAUAGAAAUUUAAACCCUUUUUAAAGUAUCAAUUGGAGGGCAAGUCUGGUGCCAGCAGCCGCGGUAAUUCCAGCUCCAAUAGCGUAUAUUAAAAUUGUUGCAGUUAAAAAGCUCGUAGUUGAAGUUCUGCUAAAAGUAACCGGUCUGCUUUGAAUAAAAGUGGUAUCUUGGUAUGUAUUUAGCAAUGAUGUCCUUUGAAGUGUUUUUUACUUUAUUGUAAUAAAGCAUAUUCAGGACUUUUACUUUGAGAAAAUUAGAGUGUUUCUAGCAGGCCAACGCUUUGAAUACUGCAGCAUGGAAUAAUAAGA